This 252-nucleotide ribosomal RNA is filed under the name uncultured bacterium. Its description in RNAcentral is "partial 16S ribosomal RNA". It matches the Rfam family "Bacterial small subunit ribosomal RNA", at positions 524 to 776 of the family's 1533-position model. The record is from RNAcentral.
UACGUAGGGGGCUAGCGUUAUCCGGAAUUACUGGGCGUAAAGGGUGCGUAGGUGGUUUCUUAAGUCAGAGGUGAAAGGCUACGGCUCAAUCGUAGUAAGCCUUUGAAACUGGGGAACUUGAGUGCAGGAGAGGAGAGUGGAAUUCCUAGUGUAGCGGUGAAAUGCGUAGAUAUUAGGAGGAACACCAGUUGCGAAGGCGGCUCUCUGGACUGUAACUGACACUGAGGCACGAAAGCGUGGGGAGCAAACAGG